Molecule: ribosomal RNA, 252 nt
Filed under: uncultured Caulobacter sp.
Lineage: Bacteria; Pseudomonadati; Pseudomonadota; Alphaproteobacteria; Caulobacterales; Caulobacteraceae
Description: partial 16S ribosomal RNA
Rfam family: Bacterial small subunit ribosomal RNA
Source: RNAcentral
ACGAAGGGGGCUAGCGUUGCUCGGAAUUACUGGGCGUAAAGGGAGCGUAGGCGGAUAGUUUAGUCAGAGGUGAAAGCCCAGGGCUCAACCUUGGAAUUGCCUUUGAUACUGGCUAUCUUGAGUACGGGAGAGGUGUGUGGAACUCCGAGUGUAGAGGUGAAAUUCGUAGAUAUUCGGAAGAACACCAGUGGCGAAGGCGACACACUGGCCCGUUACUGACGCUGAGGCGCGAAAGCGUGGGGAGCAAACAGG